GCACGGAUAGCCGAGUGGUCUACGGCGCCAGACUCAAGAUUCACAUGCUGCGCGAACUUGCUUGAGCAUUCUGGUACUCGUAAGGGUGCGUGGAUUCAAAUCCCACUCCGUGCU
Molecule: non-coding RNA, 114 nt
Organism: Angiostrongylus cantonensis (rat lungworm)
Lineage: Eukaryota; Metazoa; Nematoda; Chromadorea; Rhabditida; Metastrongylidae
Source: Rfam